Molecule: ribosomal RNA, 305 nt
Filed under: Teloganodidae gen. C sp. LLPDC-2017
Lineage: Eukaryota; Metazoa; Arthropoda; Insecta; Ephemeroptera; Teloganodidae
Description: partial 12S ribosomal RNA
Source: RNAcentral
AUGUGUGCAUAUUUUAGAUCUCAUAUCAAAUUUAGUCUCUUAUAAAUUUUACCUUCAAAUCCACCUUCCACCAUUUUUACAAAUAGCCUCCGUAUAAAUACCUUCAUUGUAACUCACCUUUCCUUAAACAUAAGCUACACCUUGACCUGUCAUCUUUUAUAUAAACACUCCGAACAUGGCUUUCCAACAUCUCCUUCUGACGGCGGUAUAUAAGCCUGAGCUUAAGUUAGUUAAAAUGGGGGUUAUCAAUUAAAAGACAAGUUCCUCUGAUAAGAUAAAAUACCGCCAAAUUCUUAGAGUUUCUA